GCGGAGAAUUCCAUAAUCACAGCCGGCGAGAGCGGAGACUGGGAGCGAAAAAUCCGGGAUCCGGCAACUUUGGGCAGCGCAUGCGCGCCCACGGCGCUCCAUCCCAAACACACACACAUUUUUCCCCCGGACUUGGAAAGUCACCCAAAGCCGCCCCAAGUGCAGGCACACAGACCUCACUGACGGAAGGCAAAGACCACCACCUCCAUCCCACCUGCCUUUCCAGCUGCCCCAGCCACCGAUCCCUCCUUCCUAAGGGGGUCCUGCAACUCCCCAGUGCUACACAUUGGAAUGGACUUCGGACCCUGGCUUCUUGGGGUGCAAAGGAUGAAGUGACCUCCCCGCUACGUUUGAGGCACCUGUAGGACCUGCCACAAGGUAAGGCUUAAAUCUCUUCUCUGACUGCUGUCUUGUCUGGUAUUGGUGACCCCUCACCUGACACACUGUCAC
This 450-nucleotide long non-coding RNA is filed under the name Cavia porcellus (domestic guinea pig). Its description in RNAcentral is "lncRNA (ENSCPOG00000036061.1)". The record is from RNAcentral. Lineage: Eukaryota; Metazoa; Chordata; Mammalia; Rodentia; Caviidae.